UGUAAAUCAAAUGUGUCGUUU
Molecule: non-coding RNA, 21 nt
Filed under: Caenorhabditis elegans
Lineage: Eukaryota; Metazoa; Nematoda; Chromadorea; Rhabditida; Rhabditidae
Source: RNAcentral